This is a non-coding RNA of Hydra vulgaris (swiftwater hydra), 194 nucleotides long. The record is from RefSeq and is a predicted model, not a curated record. Lineage: Eukaryota; Metazoa; Cnidaria; Hydrozoa; Anthoathecata; Hydridae.
ACUGUUUUUGUUUUCUUUUUUUAGGAUUGCUAUUUUCAGCUACGAAAUUUGAUACAAGUCAAGGAAAAGGCAGCAAUAAAUCAUAAAGUUUUCACGAAAAUAAAAAGACUUGAUACUUUUUACGAAGGUUUAUGCAAAGGCGAUGACGUUAUUCCCCAAUACUUAGACAAGAAAAUAAAUUGCUGUUUUAAUUA